RNAcentral lists this ribosomal RNA (253 nucleotides) under uncultured bacterium. Its description in RNAcentral is "partial 16S ribosomal RNA". It matches the Rfam family "Bacterial small subunit ribosomal RNA", at positions 524 to 776 of the family's 1533-position model. The record is from RNAcentral.
UACGUAGGGGGCUAGCGUUGUCCGGAUUUAUUGGGCGUAAAGAGCGUGUAGGCGGCCAGGUAGGUCUGGUGUGAAAACUCGAGGCUUAACCUCGAGAUGUCAUCGGAAACCAUCUGGCUAGAGUCCGGAAGAGGAGAGUGGAAUUCCUGGUGUAGCGGUGAAAUGCGCAGAUAUCAGGAGGAACACCGGUGGCGAAGGCGGCAUCCUGGACCGGUAUUGACGCUGAGGCGCGAAAGCCAGGGGAGCAAACGGG